Molecule: ribosomal RNA, 253 nt
Filed under: uncultured bacterium
Lineage: Bacteria
Description: partial 16S ribosomal RNA
Rfam family: Bacterial small subunit ribosomal RNA
Source: RNAcentral
UACGUAGGGGGCAAGCGUUGUCCGGAUUUAUUGGGCGUAAAGAGCGUGUAGGCGGUUAGGUAGGUCCGUUGUGAAAACUCGAGGCUCAACCUCGAGACGCCGAUGGAAACCAUCUGACUAGAGUCCGGAAGAGGAGAGUGGAAUUCCUGGUGUAGCGGUGAGAUGCGCAGAUAUCAGGAAGAACACCCGUGGCUAAGGCGGCUCUCUAGUACGGUACUGACGCUGAGACGCGAAAGCGUGGGGAGCGAACAGG